AAAGUUCUCAACCACAUACAUUAUCAAUGAUGUGGCUUGGAUAGUGGGGGUUUGCAGGCUUGAAAGUCUGCUCUCCUGAAAUGCAUUAGUGGUGUCUGAGCUACUACUAGAUGUGAUAAUUAUCUACAUCGAAAAACGUAUGCUUGCAGCAGCCGCUUCAUAUUUAUGAAUUUGAUGA
RNAcentral lists this unclassified non-coding RNA (178 nucleotides) under uncultured Agaricales. Its description in RNAcentral is "sequence contains ITS2". Lineage: Eukaryota; Fungi; Basidiomycota; Agaricomycetes; Agaricales. The record is from RNAcentral.